UUUUUUUUUUUUUUUUUUUUUUUUUUAAUCAGAUUCUCAAAUUUCCUUCCUCAGGUCAAAAGCAGGAAAAAAAGAUCCAUAACAGAGAUAGCUCAGACAACAGAAUUUGUCUCCCAGCAUGAGCACUGGGGUAUCAGAAAUCCAAAUUGCUGCUGCUACACACUCAAGGAGAUCCUGUUUGCCCAUAUGUUUUAAUAUGAACAUUUAUUCUUCCACUCAUAAGAUUCUGCCUGAAUCUUCAAUACAAUUUAUCAUUCUGCCAGGUCCAUGACUGAAAGGCAGAAUAUAGCCUACAGAUCCAACAAAUCUUUUGGGAGUUUUAAUUGCAUAAGAAAUUUAAUAUAAAUACAGAAGAAUAUAUUUUUUCAUAUAUAUAAUGAAAUUAGGAUUUCACUAAAAUUCUGUUACCUGGAAAGUACAAUCUAAGCUAUUAACGUGUCACAAAAUGUGUUAAGAUACAAAUCAGGAUUCCUAUGAAAGGAGCUUGACCUUUACACAUUUGUGUUCACAGAUUUUAAAGUAAUACCAGAAUCAACUUGUUAGGCUAUGACAAAGUUUCCAGCUGGAUUUCAAACACAUCCAUUUCGAGAAUCAAAAAUAUGUUCUUGAAAUAUUCCAUGGAAAGAAAUAUAAGGGUCAAAAUAAAAACAAACAAGAUUUUUCUUUUUUUUAUUUCCAGCAGAGAAGAAAGAUCAGGAAAACACUGAUAUUUUUUUUUCUUCCAGUAAUGCAAACAUGAAUAUUAGAGAAGUGGCAAGAAGGUAGUCACUUUUCCCAUGGGUAAGAAGGAAGCAGGAACAGAGGAAGGAGCCCAGAUGAAACAAAUUAAUAAACAUCUCUAGCAUGUGGAAAAGAAGCUACUAUAAACUCCUAGCAUAUCUAAAGAAGUAUGUCUUCAUGGGGAAAGGAAUCCAUUUUUCUCCCAUGCUUGACCAUUUAAUUGACAUAUCAGCAGGUUAAACAGAUAAAAAAAUAGAGAAAAUAGGAAUCUCCCAGAUGCUGCGCUAAGUAAGCAUUGGUCCUAUUAAAAUGUGAGUAAAUUAUUCAUGUACUUUUGUCAUGACCAAAGGGCCACAGGAACUUGCAGUGCAUGCUCUGGGUGUCUUUGUGCUCCAUGAACAAAAGAAAUUUCAUUUGACAAGUGAUUUAGGUGAUUUAGGUGACUUUUAGUCACCUGAUUUUGUUCACUAGCAGUGGUCAGCAUCUACCCUUGUAGGAAGCUGAGCUUAUGCACUUGAAGUACCUGCACAUUUUGGCCUCCAUAGUGGUACUUACGCCAUAGUAGGUAUCAUGAGCAACAGCAGCAAGAGCUAUGAUACGUAGCUUAGUUCUUCCACAGAACAGCUUGAAGGUCUGUGGGGGAUGUAAGUGAAACUCACCAUGCAAACCAUGUCUUGUUACCUUCAAUUAUGUGUAGUGUAUGCCUUCAUCAACAGCAAUAUUAGAAACCACCCACUGCAGUUCCUGAGGAAAAAUGCCAUGGAGAUCAUGAAAGUAUUCCAGCAAAAUGCUCUAUUUUUCCUGUAAAAGUUGAACCCUCUGAGUUAUAUUAACAGUUCCAUCAAAAUUAUUCCAAUCUCUGUUGCAAACUCAUCAGUUUGAGUCCCCUCAAUUUGACUGGGGCAAACCCAAGAGUCUCAGCAGAAGUAAGAGUUUAUAAUUACUGGUUGCUACAGGAGCAAAAUAAAUAUGUGUUCUGCCAUGCCUUCAAGACAAGGGAACCCAGGAUUUAGGCAAAGGCGGCUUGAUGUAACCUGUAAAGGUGAGGAAUUGAAUCUGCCGUAGCUCAGAUCUGCUGUAGCUUUGUCUCUAACUCAGGAAAUGUGACUGAUUUGAAAAGAAUCACAGCAUCAUAGAAUCAUCGAGGUUGGAAAACACCUUCAAGAUCACAGAGUCCAACCUAAGACUGCCAAGUUCACCACUAAAUCAUGUCCCUAAGUGCCACACCUAUGUGUCUUCGGGGGUGGUGACUCAACCACUUUUCUGGACAGCCCAUUCUAAAGUUUCCUAACUUUUUUGAUGAAUAAAUUUUUCUUAAUAUCCAAUUUAAACCUCCCCUGGUACAACUUGAGGCCUUUUGCUCUUGUUCUAUUGCCUGUUACCAGGGAGAAGAGACCAGUCCUGACGUUGCUACAACCUCCCUUCAGGUAGUCACAGAGAGUGAUAAGGUCUCCGCUGAGCCUCCUUUCUUCCAGGCUAAACAAUCCCAGGUCCCUUUUCUGCUCCUCAAAAGAUUUUUCUCUAGAUCCUUCACCAGAUUUGUUGUCUGCCUUUGGAUGCUUUUUUUUCUAAAACUCGAAGUGCUGAAGCUCAGCCAAAGUUCAUUACAAGGAUGGACACACAUGGAGGAUGCACACAGAAAGAAAGAAAGCUGACUUUGGUGUUAGAUGUUAAAGAUUUCAGAAUGGACAGGAUCAAACAACACUAUUUGAUAUGUCAGUGCUAUCUAAACGACUAGUACUUGAAAAUUCUCUUUGACACAAGGAACUCCAUGUGCUGAAAGAGCUUUGUUCCAGGAAAGAAAACUCAUUAACUCUGUGUGCACACAGGUUUGUGUGUAUGCACACACAUUUGAGGCAUGUAUCCACACACUUCAAACACAGGUUAUCUGGCCAGUUAGCACUCACUGUGUAUAUUUAAAUGCCUUUAUUUAUAUGGGAGAUUUUCAAUUGUGGUUGUUAUAGAGCUACCAGAGGAAAGUAUUACAUAAACAUUUCUUAAUUCCAACUUGUAGCAUGCAGACAAGUUCUGAUUUUUCAGCAGACUUGCUACAUUGCAUUUUUGAGCUCAGAAAAACUUUCAGAAGACCGAGGCAACACUAUCAGUGGAUUUUUCUCCAAGCUAUGAGUAGUUAAGACUCAAGGCUGAAUUACUCCUGAGAAGCUACUAUUAGCACAGAAUUAAAUUCCUGGAGGAAAAGAUUACCCUGUGUGGUUUUGUAUUCUUUUCCUUCCUUAAGUAGUAGUAUAUAGCCAAAGCAGACCAAAGCCUCCUCAGGCAUUAAAACUUUUAAAAAUCACAGCAAGUAUUUUACAAGUCUCUUCAGAAUUGCUGGAUUCUAUACAGAUCCCUUGUGUGGAACUGGUCUUUGUCAUGGAGAGAGUAAGCCCACAGUAAACUGCAAAGGUGGUUCAGUCGCAGGAUUCUUCUUUUAGGUUAUCUUCAGCCUGUUUGUGAAUGGAACAUUAGCAUUGAAAAUGGAGAGAGAAGGAGUAGAAAGUUGAACAGGUACAAAUAACCACAAUGAAAUUAUUGGAUAUAAUCAAUCAUAGAUUUUACCAGUGUUAAGGUUAAAAUAAUUUCUACCAUAGAUUUUCUGCUGAAGUCCCAUAUGUGAGUAAUCUCCACCAAUUAUACAUUGUGGUGUUCAAAUUCAGUAUGAAGAGAAAAAGUCUAGCUUGUCUAGCUUGCAAAGUAUAGAUAUUUUUAAGUAGUAUUAAAUAUAUAAGCACCAAUACAUUGAAACAAAAUUAAUUUGAAACACAUUUGACACAUUUGACCACUAAGAACAGCAAUAUCUUUCAGCAAUGUAUUAGCCUUAGAGCUUUUUCUUCUAACAUCUCACAGAGUCUUUUCUAGACUAAGUCAAGAACAAAAUUAAAGCCAGCUGUACACUGACUUUAUUCACCUCAUCUCAUUGCAAUAUGAUAAAAAAUUAUUUUGUUUAAAUAGCAAAUGAUCCACUGUUUUUCCUUCUUUGUCAGCCCUUUACAGAACAUUGUGGAUAUUUUCUCCUAGAUUUGUUCUUACAAAGGAAGUAACAGUUUUUACUCCCAAAGUGAAUUCUCUUAGAUCAGCAGAAAGUUUACCACAUGUUUUAGGCUACAAAGGCAUAUAUCUUCCCAAAACUGAAUUUCCUGGUAAGUAUUCAUUAAGGUGUUCUGAGGAGACAUCCAGAAAACAUUUUUGAGCUCCCUAAAUUGGAUGACAGUGUGAUCCUUCCUACUUUUCUUUCAACUUACCUUGUUUACAAUGUAAAGUCAGCAAAUACAUGGGGGUGUGCAGCCACCAGUGGAGCAUCUGGUACGGCAGAGAGAAGCAGACCAGGAGAAUACAAAGUGGUGAGUCUGAAAGAUGAAAUAUCUCCAGAAAAACUCAUCUGUGAGAGUGAACUUAGUUGUCUCCACAUCAGUAGCAGCCAGGUUUAAGUGUCCACUUUAAAGAGCAUCUCUGGGCUACAUCGACCAUUCAUCUAAGCCAGUGAAAAAAUUCCUGUGGGAGUUCUAUAAGCACAAAUUAUUACUUCACCCCUAAAAGAAGAGCUGUAAAAGAUGAACAACUUGAAAAUGUUCCACUGGAAAAAUACAGAAAUUUUGCAAAGUUCUUUCCCUUAAUGUGUCUAAAAAUAUAUUUGAAGCUUGUGAAAGAUAAAAAGGGAUGGUUUUGAAGGGUUUUAUUAGAAACAAUUUAUCAGUUUGCAGCCAUGGAAAUUAAAAAUUUAGCAAAUGCUUAUUAACAUGUGAGGAAAAAUGGUGGAACAUCCAUUAACUGCAACUAAAAUAUUAAUAAAAUGCUUAUAAACAUCACCAAAGAGUAGAGCAUUACCAGUGUCCCUUGAGUAACACAUAAAUAUAGAUAAAGCUGUCCUCUGCAGCAGGAUUAUUUGGGAACUGCUCAGAUUCCAACUCCUUAAACAUUUUACCAAAUGCUACUACUAUUCCAAGGAACAGACCAUCUCUGAGAACACACACAUCUAGACCCUUCCAUAAAACAUUUCACACACCAGCUUUCAUUUUUUGUUUCAGAGGGUUUGGAUCACUGUUCUUAGUGUUUAUCUACUUUCUCUACUACUUUUUCCUAGACCAGAACUCAUUUUUUGAGAAAACUUUCUUCUGUUUAAUUUGAGCAUUCAAUUAAAUUUGAUACAACUUUUUAUUUGUAAUGUUUGACUUUCAAGUCAUGUGCAAGCAGAUAAAAAUGAAGUUAAAACUCCCCUUUAAACUUGUAAGCUCAGACUUUGUAUGAGAAAGUUUAUAUUUGUAUCGAUAUUAUAUACUGGAAUGAGAGUAAUACUUCUUAAUGUCAUAUUCUCCGUUUCUUUCAUGAGCAUGAAUAUCUGUAUGGAAUGCAAGACUUCCAGAUUUUAUACCAAGGAACAAACCAGCUACAUUUGCUCAAAACUAUCAAGCAAAAUGAGUAGAGAAACAACUACCUAGGAAUGCAGGACAUCCACACUGCAAUCCCUGUAAUGAAUCAGGCAGAGGGCACAGCUGCAACAGGGAGACAGAAAAACUCAUCCUACAGCAGUCAGCAGUCCAGCAGUUCAACACCUCCAGCGAGUUACAUACAGAAAGGAAGAUUUUGUAAAUAUAAUAUCAAAGAAUUAGUUUUCAUGGAAGAUGAGAAGUUACUUAGAAGCAUACUAACUAUUGCUUGAAGUGGGAAGUUGGAGACCAGAAAAGAGCCUCCAAACCUCACAGCCACGUUCAAACUGUAUGGUGACAUCAGAUAAAGUGUUAUGAGAAAACUCAAACGUUGAAACUUUAGAUAAAGAGUAAGAUGGAAUCUUACCAGACCAAGACACAUGUUCUGUAGUAUUGAUUAAUGAGUCAAGUCCAAAGAAUAAAUGGCGAUAAGAAGGCAUUUGGCCACAUUCAAAUUCCCUGAUUGAUGUUUUUAUGAAGACCACUAUGAGGAAAGUUAUCUUCUUAAAUUAUCUCAUGAAAAGGACAUUUCAUGGGUUUGCCUUCCAUGCUGCUAUAAUAGCCACAGAAAUGGCACAACCACCCUUGUUUCUGUUAUGGCUUCAGAUGGAUUGUAUUUGCGCAACAUGAUCACAGUACCUGGAAAAGACUCACUAAAAUUCAUUAGGAGGUCCUUUCUUUGGGACAAAUGUAUAGAACAUGCAUGUAGGAUUUGUAAUUUUCUCUUCUUCCCCCCCUCACUCCCCCUUCCCCCCGUGGUCCCUUGUCCUGACCCUGCGUUCCCUUAUCACUCCCUCUCACCAUGCGGUCCAGUCCCGGUCCCCCACCCCCCUGCCUUUCCUCUCACCACACGGGCUGUCCCUGCCCCCCCCCCCCGCGGCUUUCCCGUCGCGGUCCCCGGGGUUUCCCUGCCCCCGUCCCCUGCCUCCCGUCCCAUUGGCCGUGGCUCAGAUUCCCCCCCACCCCCGGCACAGGGUAUAACCGAGUCCCGCUCGGUCCCCCGGGGUCUCAGGGAACACGCUCCCACAAUAAACACGUGUUUGCACC
Molecule: long non-coding RNA, 6191 nt
Filed under: Taeniopygia guttata (zebra finch)
Lineage: Eukaryota; Metazoa; Chordata; Aves; Passeriformes; Estrildidae
Description: lncRNA (ENSTGUG00000023698.1)
Source: RNAcentral